UAUACCUAAAUUUUAUAAGUUAGUUGAAAGAGAAAUCAGCUGCUUAUAUUUGUGACAGUGCUUAUCGCAAAGGGACCCUUUUUUUGGACUGUAGUGUCUGACUGCUACCCUGCUACAAAUAAUAAGCUAGGCCUGAAAUGACAUUAAUAAUAAGUAGGACAGGAAAGAGAGAAAGAGAAGUGGAGAGGACAGACUUUCAGAAAGUCAUUUUUUUCUUCGCUGGAAUCAAAUAACUAUUUUUAUGUAUAUGUGAGAUACUCCUAAAUGCUAAUUGAUUCCUCCCCCAAAAAGCCUAGCUGACUUGAUAAUGUCAUUGGAUACAGGGUGAUGCUUUCUUCAGAAUUCUAUUACUAUAAGGGAAAUACUCUGGUUUUGAAAAAGAACAUAUUGAUGAGAAAAAAUUGAAAUCCCUCUGUGGCCUUCCUGUCCUUCUUGAUUGGUUCUGCAAUACUUGGAUAGCAAGAAAAUAAACACUUGUGGCCUCCCUAAUCUGAGGAACCCCCACAUUGGGUUAAAAGUUGUCAAAGCUGUGUUUGGCACUGACUUUUCCAGUCUUCAAUGUAGGGAUUAAGAGAAUGACUGGAGCAUGGUGUACAUCACCAAAUCCCUUAAAUAUGUGUAUCUUCUUUUGCCAAACUGUGGAUGGUGUUCUUACUGUGAGUGUUUUAUGUCUAGUCUUUCUCAGAAAAGUACCAUGCUCCUUGUCAGUAGCCUAUGUCCUGUCGCUGUUUCCACGGAUGCCUUACGCUAUUUAGGGAGGUGAUCCUGAGAAGUCUUAGCCCAGCUGUGAAGAGGAGUUAGUGGGUAAGGAGGACUGACACGCAGCUGUCUUCAUGAUUAUCCAGGUUCGAAAUCUGUGUCAUUGAUGAUACUCCAGUUAUCUGUAAGUAAAUGACUGCUAUAAGUUUAAGGGAAGAUACAGGUCUCCCUAUUUUUUUGUCUGUCUUCUCCUUACUUUCCCAUCCAUCCAGUGCAUCAGACAUUUAUAAAGAAGGAAAUUAUUCUCCUUUUAGGGAAUAGACCUUCUGUCUGGUCUUUCUGAUUCUUUCAGUGUCCACUGGAAGUUUGCACCAUGCUGUACUCUAGAGACAGAAUUAAAGCUUGUAAACAAACUUCAUAACUUUUAUCAGCAUUUAAAUUGCAUUUUGUGACUUCUUGGUUUGACAGAAUGAUGUCAGGUAGCAGGUGUACUUCCCCUGCCUUUUUUUUUUUUUUUUUUUUAAAAAAUCUUCAAAUAUUUCCCCAAAGAGAAGUAUUUGGUAAUAGCUUUAGGAGAAGGAAAUGUGUAUUUCACAGAAUUACAAAAGGGUCUACAAUCACUUAUUUUCAGAGAUGUCUAUUGUGAGAGUCCUAGUAUUUUAUACGAAGUAUAACUUCAUAUAGAGCCUUAGAUUUAUGAUAGAAGUGGAAACACAUUUAAAUAUUAUGGUUGUUUCAGUGCUUCAUGGAGCUGUGUACAUGCAUAACCUGCAUGAAUUGGCAUCCUCUGUUUCAAUAAAGUGUAAUGAACGGGCAAAGCAGUCUGCUUGGAUGCUACACAGUGAGGCAUCAGUGACCUCAAACAGUUUGGGAUAGAAGAGUGGAGAGACUGGUAGUAAGGCUGAAGGACAAGGAAUGACUAAUGGUUUUGGCAUACUUCCUAUUUUUGCACGAGUUUACAUGUGGCAGAACACGUCUGGCGCUUUUCAUCACAAGCAAGUAUGAUUUGAUGUGAAUAGAAGGAACAGAGUCUGACUUUAAUGAGAAUUUAGCUUUUAUGCAGGUCCUAGCUGCAUAAGGGCUCACGUGAGCACAAGGUCAGACUGUGCCUCAAGAUGUGUACUCCCAUGAAACUCCAAGGUAAGAGCUAGAGGCUUGAUCUUUCCUUUGGAGGUACAAAAACCUGUCAAGACCCUGUAGACAGUAAUGACAGUCGGCUGCUGCGCACGUACCUGCUCACUGGCCAUUUUACAAACUACUGCCGCAGCAGUUGGAGUAUCAAAAGAUGGAGGCUCUACAUCUUUUCUUAAUAGCUUUCAUUGUACAUUGUCUAUUUCCCUAAUUAAAAUUUCAUUAUCGGUAUUUCUGUAGCGAUGUGUUAGGGCCUAAUGCAGCUCUCCCACAGCCUGCCCAGCACAGAUAUGGAUCUAACUGGAAGGUUUUAAAGAAAAUCUCACUUUCCUGAGUACAAAAACUAAUCAAAACAAAAGAAUUUAUAUUUAUUGGCAGUAUGUCAACUUUUCACCACAUCUUUAUUUCGUAUCUAGUUACUUCUGUGCAAUUUACAUGUUGAGGUAUCUGAUUUUUGCAGAUACAGAGUAAGAUCUAGGUAAACCUUCCUUUUCUAAACUUGUUUUAUUAGUACGAAAUAAUCACUUAUGUAACUUCCAUUUUAUUUUUUUUUUUUAUAUUUACAGUGGGUUUGCUAAAAUUAUGUAUGCUUGAACUUGGUUAUUUAACUUAUCUAAUUUGGGCUCAGAUAGUGAGGCAAAACUGGUGUAAUUUCUAAAUGUCAAGAAGGACGUAUGCAGCUUGUGGAGCUGGUAAGUGUGAAAAAGCAGGCUGAAAAGACAUUACUUGCUUUGAAAAUCUGUGAUUUGAGUUGGCAAUAGCAAUGAAUCUGCUGUACGGAAAGGGGCAGAUUUUUUUUUUUUUUUCCUUGGGUUGCUAAGUAGAUGGAAUUGUAUUCAUAGAAUAUCUGAAGUAGGAAGGGACCCAUAAGGAUCACUGAGUCCAACUCUCUGCUCCAUGCAGGACUACCUAAAACUAAACCAUAUGACUAAGAGCGUCAUCCAGAUGCUCCUUGAACUCUGACAGGCUUGGUGCCAUGACUGCUUCCCUGGGGAGCCUGCUCCAGUGAUCGACCACCCUCUCAGUGAAGAACCUUUUCCUAAUGUCCCAUCUGAACUGCCCCCUGCCGCAGUUUCACAGUCAUUCACAACUGUGGCUUUUGUCCUACUUCCGUGUUUCUUAUCUAAGUAGGAAUGUUCUUGCAAACCGAUGUGAGGUUGGAAUACGUGCAGGACUUCAUGGCCCCUGUUUUAGAAUAGCUGCUGCUCCGUAUAGGCUCGUUUUGAUCUGCAAUGAGAGGCUAUUUAGGGAUGUCCUUACAAGGUGAACUUUUAUAUGGUGCUCUUAAGAAACUCUCUGUAAAGGUGUUGUGCACUUUAUAGACUAGAGUGUUACAGAAUUAGCUGGUAGCAGUACUUUUCUGAGCUGUUUCUAAGUGAUACUUACUUAAAUUCAUGUUUACAUUUUUAAAGAAUUGGAUUUUUCAAAAGUGCCAAGCAGCUGCAAAUCUUUAUGGCUCCAAUGCCUACUCAGGGCAGUGAACAUUUUAUGGCAAAUAGUGAUUGCAGCGUGUUGCCCAAUAUAGUUUCACAUCUCUCUCUUAAGCUUGACAUCACUGAGUUCAAUUUCAUAAGAAGGUGUUAGUAGAAGACUAAAUAAGGGAACAAUUCACUUAAGUUGUGUGCCAAGGAAUAAAAAUAUUCAUGCCGAAUUUUUACAAUAGUGAUCUGCAAAGUUUAGAUUAAUGAAAAAUAUUCUUCCCAGAAUUAAUAUUUAGGCAAUGCAAUUUUGCUGAAGGUAUUUGUGUGUGUGUGUGUAAGUCUGAGAAUUAUACAAGAGAGUUUAAAAACAAAAGGCUAGACUCUCCUUUCGGGACAAAAGAAGAGAAAACACAGAAUCCUACAUGUUCCGUGACUCCUAGCUGAUUUUUGAUAGGCAGAAUGAUCCAGAACAUAUAGAAACCCAAGAUGUUACCUGCUAGGGUAUUAUGUUUGCAGUGUUUAUAUACUAACCUUCUGUCACCUUCUUCGGUACAAAAAUUAGCCUCACGUUAGUCUUCUUACAGUGUUAUUUUCAAUUUUUUUCCAAACUGGAGGAUAAGUUCAAUAAGUCAAGAAAAUACUGUCAUAUAGAGUAUUAGGAUAAUAGGAACAGAAGCACAGAUGCCAUAUUUAAAUCUAGAAGGAAAAAAAUCUUAUUUAAGCCCCAAAUACGAUAUCUGCGUCUGAAAUAUUGGACUGCUCACAUAUAAAGCAAUGAUUUCUUUUUCAGUUUUGCACAGUUGGUGAUAUGAAACCAGUGAUAAACACUGAAAUAGAAAAAACUACCACAACAGAUUUUCUCUAAAGCUGGAAGUAUCAUUCAAGUCUUGACACAGAGUCUCAAAGAUGAAAUUCCAAACCUAUUAACUCAUUAGAAAAAUGAAAUGGUGGGAGCCUGAUAUUUGUGUGUCACGUCCCCAGCCUUUUAGACAGAUACAUUUUGUUAGCAUAUUUGAAGUAUCAUGAGUUCUUUUUAGGUUAAAAGAGAUGCCUGGUAUGCCUUGUUUUUUCUGAUUAAUAUAUCCUGAGGUCUAGCUUGCUUUAACCUCUUUGCAAGUAAGCUGUCGUAACUAUGUUAAUUCUUGCUACUUGUUUUGUAUUACAUGAAAUGUAAUGGUUGAACCUGAAAUGUCAUCUCUACCUUUUGACUUUGUUCAGCGUUCUCAAGGCUAAUACAUAGAUAAAACAUACAAAUAAGCAACUUGUAACUAUAGUGUUAAGUGGUGUUCUGCAUUCUUUAUGCUAGGCUCCAUUCUGUAUGCCAAUACCCAGCAUCCACGUGAAGUCAAUGAGCAUUUGGUCGGGUAGGAGCACAGGACUGGGGUUUUGUAGUCCAGAAGUAAUCAUCAAACUUCUUUGUAUUUAUGCACUAGUCUUUUCAGAAAAAUAACACUGAAUGAAUACAUAAUGAAAUUAUGGUGACCUACGGGUCUCCUUUACAAUCAGUGCAUGCCCUAAAAUACUGGUUUGUAACAUCUGUUUUAUACUAAAUGUCGGUGUUCAAGUGAGCCUUGUUAGAUAUUUGACAGUGACAGACAACAAUAUUUAUAAACCUGUUACAAUAAAUGCCUUUUUAGUCUAAGAAAAUGUGUGGUAUGGCCUUUAUAAAAGGGAAAAAAAAGGUGUCUCUGAGGCUAAAGAAGUCUCUGUUGUUGCCUUGUGUUAACAAUUCCUUCCUGUGCCAUGGGCUUGAAUUUAUUACCCUGAGUAAUUCUGUUUAAGUCAGUGAGGCUGGUCACAGCAGUGAAUUAACAGAUGUGGGGGAUUAUUUUUUUUUUUUAUUUCACCGUCAGAAUCACAGUGAAGCUGUAAAUAAAUCUAAUAAUCUGUGUGUUAACAAAGUAUUAACCCAAUUGUCAUGUAGUAAGUAGCAUGUAGAGGUUCCUGUGGUGACCUCUAUGCUGUGUUUUUUGUGACCUAUUUGAUGCAACUAUAAUCAAGCUGCCAAUAUUACAAAUUUGGGUGUUCUUUAUCUACUGUCAUCGCUGCCCUAUUGCUUGGCCAGGCAGAGCAGCUCCUGAAGCAGUCAGAAGAGCCUUUUACAGAAAAGAAGAAAAUGAAUUUAUAUUAGAGAUUGGCAACAGAGAGGAGGAAGUCCCAUGAUACUCGGUGAGCGAAAGCAGCUGUAGAAGUCUCUCAAGCAGGGGUGCUUCAACUUCUGAGAUCUCUCAGGUUUGAGCAGGUAUUUUAGCUCCUUGCUGGUGGACUGAGAGGAAGAGUUGGCUCAAGGCACCAAGAAACGUAUUGCUUUUACACUGUGUGCUCUGUUUUUUGUGUUUGUAGUAUUGCUACCCUGUAGUUGCAGGCUGCAAGAAAGGUCGCAUCUUGUGUGUGUCAGCUACUUGUGCACUAUAUCCAAGUGAUCAUGAUCAAUAGAGGCCUCAAACAGACUCAACAGAGGGUCUUAAAAUAUAUUCCGUUUGUCUUGUGCCACGUAACAUUUGACAGAUUGGUAAGGCGUUUUGUCACAAGCCCGACUAAGCCAAAAUAAUCUUCUGUUACUGAGAUCUCUGUAUAUCCAGCUCAUGUUCCACGUGCGCAGCUGCCAUGUGGGCUAAACCCUGCGAGAUAGUGCUCUGGAUUUUGUUCACCCCAAGGUCUUACUGGUGCUGUGUUUUGCAUGCUGGUCCACUGAGUGAACAUCUUUGUGUUUGGUGCUGUUGACUGCUCUGCCUUACGACCAUGCAUUUCAUUCUGCUUCUGAACUGCACAAAAUUAAUAGUUGUCUAUGAGAAUCAUUCAAGUAUAGCGCUGCUGAUAAUACCAUAUACUUUAACUGAGAUAUUGAACAAAGUUGUUUCUGCAGUAAAGUCAGUCACUGCUGUAAUCACUGGGUACAAACAGAGCCAGUGUUCCCAAGAGCUGGUUUUCCUUCUCUUUUUACCACUAUUUUGUAAAUGACACUUAAUUUGGAGUCAUCUCAUCUUAGCAGUUGAUCUGCAUAAAAGAUUAUUUUUUUUCUUUAGCCCCAAAUAGAAAGGUAUGUGCUGAUGACCUAAAGUUUAUAUCUUAAUGAUAAACUUUAAAGAUUACAUCUUUUUUAAUUUGGUCCUGCUACUGUUGAAACUAUAGUAGUUUACGUUGAGUAUUUUUCAUUCAUCUGAAGAGGAUAUUAAAUUGAGGUGAAUUAAUGAAGUGAGAUUAACCUCAACGGAACGUUCACAAAUGUUCAGUAACACAGGUUAAAACAACCAAACAAGAAGUUUCUCAAGCAGGGGUAGAGAGUUAUUUUCUAAAUACACAGGCCAGUGCUGACACCUUGUGGCUUCGUUACUGAGUUGUUUCGUAGUUUCCUGUGGUUAUUUUGGGUGUAAAUCAUGAUGAACUUGUUGUUGCCAGCGUUGUCUGUCUCCUCUGCUUCCUGGCCACCUCAGUACCCAGUAUUUUGGUGUCACAUGUAAGACAGCUUUGGGCUGUGUUGACUGCACAUCGAGUGAAUAAGAACUAGGGGUGUCUGGGAGCUUUUGAAGAGGACUCAAACAGCUUCAGUUCAGUGCACAAAAUCACAGGUGCUAGUGCAGCAGCAGACAGCAGUUACGAGCUCCUCUCUUACUAGUUAUGCCGCAUUUUAUAUUUCCCUCCACAUAGGAGAGCACCGAGGACUGUCAAUACUUAGCACAUGUGUACUUUUAGGCACACACACGUUUUCUACAUUGACACAAAAGCAUUCCUUUGCUGCCCUCUUCACCCUUGAAGAAUUACUGGUAGCAAAACUACAUCCAAAGGGACUGUUGGAGAAUUUCUGGUAGUAUAGGACCCUGAGGUGCACUAUUUAUCUAUGGCCAUAAAAAUGCCUAAACCACAAUUUAUCAGUGCAAUUUAUACCUAAAUGGGUGUCUAAUCUAAAAUCACAUAACUUUUCAAGUCUUAACAAAACCAGCUGUUAAGGCUGCAGUCGCCAUUUGAGAUCUGUUGUGGAAUUAAGUUUUCAGAUCUUGAGGUGUGUCUUGUGAAGAUCACGCAUCCUCCCUCAGCUGUUACCUCAGAGAUUGUUUUCUGAUGUUUAUGGUCAUGUCCCUGUUCUUAAGUGUUCAUGUUGUGGUAAUACAGGAGUUAGAAAUCUUUACUGCAUUGUGGGUUUGUUGUUUGGGGUUUGGGUGCUUGUUGUUGUUGUUGUUUUUAAUUUUAUUUCUGGUAUGUUUAGUUGUUUAUAAUGAAUAGUGAAACACAGAACUGGAAAGGAAAGGUUUUCUACAGUAGGGACCAAAUCUUCAGUUUAUGUAAAUCAGUAUUUAUAGCUUCACUCAAGUCAAAGAGGUGACAUUAAUUUCUAUUCCUGAAGAACGUGACUGCCUGAGUCUGUUAAGAAAAAUCAAAGGAAUAAGGAUGUGCCUAUGAAGAUUUGAUUUGCUGGCAUCUCUCUUUAUCUAACAGGAGUAUUUGUACUCUCAACUCCCCCCUGUGUAAAUCUUAAUUGACACUUGCUAAUUGAACUUUAAUACAAUAAAUGUAUUAUAAUGA
Molecule: long non-coding RNA, 7772 nt
Organism: Harpia harpyja (harpy eagle)
Lineage: Eukaryota; Metazoa; Chordata; Aves; Accipitriformes; Accipitridae
Exons: 2
Source: RefSeq, a predicted model, not a curated record